RNAcentral lists this ribosomal RNA (494 nucleotides) under uncultured bacterium. RNAcentral describes it as "partial 16S ribosomal RNA". It matches the Rfam family "Bacterial small subunit ribosomal RNA", at positions 28 to 507 of the family's 1533-position model. The record is from RNAcentral.
GACGAACGCUGGCGGCGCGCUUAACACAUGCAAGUCGAACGGAAAGGCCUGCUUUCCCUUGUGGAUUGCGGGUACUCGAGUGGCGAACGGGUGAGUAACACGUGAGUGAUCUGCCCCCAACUUGGGUAUAAGCCUGGGAAACUGGGUCUAAUUCCCGAUAGGACUGCAGGGUGGUGCCUGUGGUGGAAAACGAUUUUCUAGUGGUUGGGGAUGAGCUCGCGGCCUAUCAGCUUGUUGGUGGGGUAAUGGCCUACCAAGGCGGGGACGGGUAGCCGGCCUGGGAGGGUGGACGGCCACAUUGGGACUGGGAUACGGCCCAGACUCCUACGGGAGGCAGCAGUGGGGAAGAUUGCACAAUGGGCGGAAGCCUGAUGCAGCGACGCCGCGUGGGGGAUGACGGCCUUCGGGUUGUAAACUCCUUUCGACCGCGAGGAAGCCACCUGGCUGGAAGGGUGGUGACGGUAGUGGUAGAAGAAGCACCGGCUAACUACGUG